CAUUAGAUGACCGAAAGCAAGUGUUGGUCUCUUAAGCCUUUUAAUAGUAAUUUAACAAAUACUUCUAAUGA
RNAcentral lists this transfer RNA (71 nucleotides) under Platerodrilus sp. MNCN/DNA:86739. Its description in RNAcentral is "tRNA-Lys". Lineage: Eukaryota; Metazoa; Arthropoda; Insecta; Coleoptera; Lycidae. The record is from RNAcentral.